RNAcentral lists this ribosomal RNA (580 nucleotides) under Filobasidium magnum. RNAcentral describes it as "partial large subunit ribosomal RNA". It matches the Rfam family "Eukaryotic large subunit ribosomal RNA", at positions 74 to 640 of the family's 3401-position model. Lineage: Eukaryota; Fungi; Basidiomycota; Tremellomycetes; Filobasidiales; Filobasidiaceae. The record is from RNAcentral.
AUUCCCCUAGUAACGGCGAGUGAAGCGGGAAGAGCUCAAAUUUGAAAUCUGGUGGCCUCAGGUCAUCCGAGUUGUAAUCUAUAGAAGUGUUUUCCGUGCUGGCUCAUGUACAAGUCCCUUGGAACAGGGCGUCAUAGAGGGUGAGAAUCCCGUCCUUGACAUGAACUACCAGUGCUCUGUGAUACAUUUUCAACGAGUCGAGUUGUUUGGGAAUGCAGCUCAAAAUGGGUGGUAAAUUCCAUCUAAAGCUAAAUAUUGGCGAGAGACCGAUAGCGAACAAGUACCGUGAGGGAAAGAUGAAAAGCACUUUGGAAAGAGAGUUAAACAGUAUGUGAAAUUGUUGAAAGGGAAACGAUUGAAGUCAGUCGUGCUCUUUGGAUUCAGCCGGUUCUGCCGGUGUACUUCCUUUGAGUGGGGUCAACAUCAGUUUUGAUCGCUGGAUAAAGGCUGGAGGAACGUAGUACCCUCGGGUAAACUUAUAGCCUCCUGUCACAUACAGUGGUUGGGACUGAGGAACGCAGCACGCCUUUAUGGCCGGGAUUCGUCCACGUACGUGCUUAGGAUGUUGACAUAAUGGCUU